GAAGAUGCUUAAAUAGCCGUUGGU
This 24-nucleotide non-coding RNA is filed under the name Arabidopsis thaliana (thale cress). Lineage: Eukaryota; Viridiplantae; Streptophyta; Magnoliopsida; Brassicales; Brassicaceae. The record is from RNAcentral.